AGGGCGCGUCCAAGUCCAUCUUGAACGGGGCCACUGCCCAUAGGGGGUCCAGUUCCGUAGCGACUGCUGCAGCUUUCGAGAGGGUCUCUUCUGAGAGUCGGGUUGCUUGAGUGUGCAGCCCUGAGUGGGUGGUGAACUCCAUCUAAGGCUAAAUAUUACCACGAGAUUGAUAGCGAACAAGUACCGUUAGGGAAAGUUGAAAAGAACUUUGAAGAGAGAGUUCAAG
RNAcentral lists this ribosomal RNA (226 nucleotides) under Scymnus sp. SMB-2011. Its description in RNAcentral is "partial 28S ribosomal RNA". It matches the Rfam family "Eukaryotic large subunit ribosomal RNA", at positions 172 to 393 of the family's 3401-position model. The record is from RNAcentral. Lineage: Eukaryota; Metazoa; Arthropoda; Insecta; Coleoptera; Coccinellidae.